Sebastes umbrosus (honeycomb rockfish) is the source of this 3280-nucleotide long non-coding RNA. RefSeq lists it as uncharacterized. The record is from RefSeq and is a predicted model, not a curated record. The transcript is spliced from 2 exons. NCBI's taxonomy places the organism in Eukaryota, Metazoa, Chordata, Actinopteri, Perciformes, Sebastidae.
CUCUACUGGACUCUACUGGACUCUCCUGAACUCUACUGAACUCUACUGGACUCUACUAGACUCUACUAGACUCUACUGGACUCUCCUGAACUCUCCUGGACUCUCCUGAACUCUACUGGACUCUACUGGACUCUACUGUUCUAGAUGUGGCCCCUGGACUCUACUGUUCUAGAUGAGUCCCCUGGACUCUACUGUUCUUGAUGUGGCCCCUGGACUCUACUGCUCUAGAUGAGUCCCCCGGACUCUACUGUUCUUGAUGUGGCCCCUGGACUCUACUGCUCUAGAUGAGUCCCCCGGACUCUACUGUUCUAGAUGAGUCCCCUGGACUCUACUGUUCUUGAUGUGGCCCCUGGACUCUACUGCUCUAGAUGAGUCCCCCGGACUCUACUGUUCUAGAUGAGUCCCCUGGACUCUACUGUUCUUGAUGUGGCCCCUGGACUCUACUGCUCUAGAUGAGUCCCCCGGACUCUACUGUUCUAGAUGAGUCCCCUGGACUCUACUGUUCUUGAUGUGGCCCCUGGACUCUACUGCUCUAGAUGAGUCCCCUGGACUCUACUGUUCUUGAUGUGGCCCCUGGACUCUACUGCUCUAGAUGAGUCCCCCGGACUCUACUGUUCUAGAUGAGUCCCCUGGACUCUACUGUUCUUGAUGUGGCCCCUGGACUCUACUGCUCUAGAUGAGUCCCCCGGACUCUACUGUUCUAGAUGAGUCCCCUGGACUCUACUGUUCUUGAUGUGGCCCCUGGACUCUACUGUUCUAGAUGAGUCCCCUGGACUCUACUUUUCUUGAUGUGGCCCCUGGACUCUACUGUUCUAGAUGAGUCCCCCGGACUCUACUGUUCUAGAUGAGUCCCCUGGACUCUAAUGGACUCUACUGUUCUAGAUGAGUCCCCUGGACUCUACUGUUCUAGAUGUGGCCCCUGGACUGUACUGUUCUCGAUGUGGCCCCUGGACUCUACUGUUCUCGAUGUGGCCCCUGAACUCUACUGUUCUCGAUGAGGCCCCUGGACUCUACUGUUCUAGAUGUGGCCCCUGGACUCUACUGGACUCUACUGGACUCUACUUUUCUCGAUGAGUCCCCUGGACUCUACUGUUCUAACUGAGGCCCCUGGACACUACUGGACUCUACUGUUCUAAAUGAGGCCCCUGGACACUACUGGACUCUACUGUUCUAGAUGAGGCCCCUGGACUCUACUGGACACUACUGUUCUAAAUGAGUCCCCUGGACUCUACUGGACUCAACUGGACUCUACUGGACCUCCGUUGGACUGAAAAGACACUUUGGUUCUUUGACUGUUAAACUCGUCUCAGAGGUUGAACCAGGUGGAAACGUGUGAUGUGUUUUAAUGUUUGUUUUAUUUAAAGGGCUGAAAAUAACCGUUUAAUCAAGUUUAACUCCAGUUUAACUCUAAUAUAACUCUAGUUUAACUGAGUUUAGUAAUUCCAGUUUAACUCUAAUAUAACUCCAGUUUAACUCUGAGUUUAGUAACUCCAGUUUAAUUCUAGUUUAACUCCAGUUUAACUCUAGUUUAACUCUCAGUUUAGUAACUCCAGUUUAACUAUAAUUUAACUCUGAGUUUCACUCUAGUUCAGCUCUGUGUUCAGUAACUCUAGUUUCACUCUACUUUAACUCCAUUUUAACUCGUGUUUUACUCUGAGUUUAAUAACUCUAAUUUAACUCCAGUUUAACUCUGAGUUUAACUCCAGUUUAACUUUAGUUUAACUCUCGUUUACUAACUUCAGUUUAACUCUACUUUAACUCUACUUUAACUGAAGUUUAACUCCAGUUUAACUCUUGAGUUUAACUCCAGUUUAACUCCGAGUUUAACUCCAGUUAACUCUGAGUUUAGUAACUCUAGUUUAACUCUAGUUUAACUCCAGUUUAACUCUAGUUUACUAACUUCAGUUUAACUCUACUUUAACUCUAGUUUAACUGUAUUUUAACUCUGAGUUAACUCUAGUUUAACUGUAGUUUACUAACUUCAGUUUAAGUCUACUUUAGUCUGAGUUUAGCUCCAGGUUAAAGGACUUUAGCCACUGACUGACCGUGUUUUAUAUCUUCGUGUUACGACGAACUCUUGAAGAAAACUACGAUGAACGAAGAACCAGAAACGGAGAACGUUGUUGAUGAAUUGAAGUAAACGUGUGUCGUUAUAAACUGCUGCAUUAUAAUCAAUGAAUAAUAUAAUCAAUAAGUCUCAUUAAACUGUACUAUUUAAAACACUUUAAACCAGUUUAACUUUAACCUCUUUUAAACUCUUAACUCCAAACUAACUUCAAUCCUGAAUUAAACCUUAGUUUAAUUUCAAGUUAAGUGCAACUCUAAUGUCGUCUUUUCUCCAUUUAAACCCAGUUUAACUCUAAACUUGAAUUCCACUUUUAACUCCAUGUUAACGUCAGUUUAUCCCUGGUUUAAAUCAGAUUUAAUCUUGGAUUAACUCUGGUUUAAAUCAGGUUUGAUCCUGGAUUAACUCUGGUUUAAAUCAGGUUUAAUCCUGGAUUAACUCUGGUUUAAUCCUGGGUUAACUCUAGUUUAAUCCUGGGUUAACUCUGGUAGUUUAGUCCUGGGUUAACUGUGGUUUAAUCCUGGGUUUACUUCAGGUUUAAUCCUGGGUUAACUCUGGUAGUUUAGUCCUGGGUUAACUGUGGUUUAAUCCUGGGUUUACUUCAGGUUUAAUCCUGGGUUAACUCUGGUAGUUUAGUCCUGGGUUAACUGUGGUAGUUUAGUGUGAGGUUGGCGUUGAGGGUUUGUGGAGAAUAAUCUCCGAACACUAAGACUUCCUGUUUACAGUUUGUGUGACGUCGUUUGUUUUCUGAUGUUUAAUGUUUUAUUUUAUUUUAUUUUGGUUCUUCGAACGUUUUAUUGACUUUAUUUUUAUUUGACUUUAUUUUUAUUUUGACUUAAUUUUUAUUUCCUGAACCGAUCGAUCAGUUGAUUGAUCAGUGACUGAUCGAUCAGCACAUCCUGCAGUUUAUUGAUCAGUGGACUUUUCUACUGUUUAACUGUUAGACCGCUCACUUCCUGCUGCUGCUUCACAAUAAAAGCUUUUCUAAAAUGAACCUCUGGAAGGCUUUUAAUGUGAAGGUGCAGCAGGAAGUGCAGUCCUGAAGGUUAUUGAGCUCGGACUCGGUGUCAGAGGAAGCAGCCAAUCACAUCGUCCCACGCCAGCAGAUUGACGGUACGCGUGGCGGUGAAAUCUCACGUCUGUUUCCUGUUUUAUCAAAAUAAAAGCACCGUGUUCUGAACUCUGACUGAUGAAAAUAAAACCAAAUACACCCAC